Molecule: ribosomal RNA, 2942 nt
Filed under: Rhodotorula taiwanensis
Lineage: Eukaryota; Fungi; Basidiomycota; Microbotryomycetes; Sporidiobolales; Sporidiobolaceae
Description: bacterial LSU rRNA
Rfam family: Bacterial large subunit ribosomal RNA
Source: RNAcentral
CUAUCGUCAAGUGACUAAAGGGAUUGUUAGGGAUGACUAGCAAGCGUAUCAGAAGAGAAGUGGAAACACUAAAUGGACUAAACACGUCCGAUCUCAAGGGAAACCAUAUAGCACAUAUGUGUAUGACUACGGACUGAACCGAAACAUCGUAGUAAGUCUAGGAAAGGAAAUCAACCGAGACCCUGUCAGUAGCGGCGAGCGAACGCAGGAUAGCCUAGUAAUAGUGACUAGUAGAUCCAAUACUCUGGAAUGGGUAGAAGCAUAGUAAUAUGUACCAUAGAAGGUUAUAGUCCUGUAGAACUACUACUCUAUUACAACUAGCUAAGGACCUUAAUUUCGUAUGAAGUUCUGGCAUCUUAGUGAGUAGGGCGGCAUCAAACCUGCCCGAAUAAGGGUGCACCAUCAUCCAAGGCUAAGUAUGAUACGUUUAGCGAUAGUGAAUAGUACUGUGAAGGAAAGUUUAAAAGAAAGUCGAUGACUAGUGAAAUAGAGCCUGAACUAGCAAUCCUAUAAGCAGACAGAGCAUUAAUAUGUGAUGUCGUACCUUUUGCAUAAUGGGUCAGCAAGUUUGUGUUGCAGGUAAGGUGUGAGCCCUAGCGAAAGCGACUAUCUGUGAUCGCAAUCACGGAUGGGUUAAAUCUGCAGUACAAGACCCGAAACAUCUUGAUCUAUCCAUGGGCAGGUAUAUAGGACCGAACCAGUGUACGUUGCAUAGUACUUGGAUGACCUGUGGAUAGGAGUGAAAUGCUAAUCUAAAGAUGUGAUAGCUGGUUCUCUGCGAAAUGCAUUGCAGUGCAGCGUCAAUGUAAGGUUAUGGUAGGUACAGCACUGAUUGACAUACGGUUAUACCGUAGACUAGGGGGGCGUAACAGCUCUAUCUAGGUCAGUUAACCUCGGAAUGACCAUAAGUGAUCAUUGGCAGUGAGUCCUAGGGUGAUAAGGUCUUAGGACGAGAGGGAAACAGCCCAAACAGUGUGUUAAGGUCCCAAAGAUAUUGACAAGUGAAAUUAAGGAAGUGCAUUGCUUUAGACAGCCAUGAUGUGGGAUUGGAAGCGUCCAUCAUUUAAAGAAAGCGUAACAGCUCAGUGGUCUAUCUCUAAAGUAAUUUAGAAUGGCAGUGUGCGCCGAAGAUAUACCGGGUCUAAUCAAUACACCAAUACCACUGUCUAGUAUCUAUAUUCAUUAUCGAUACUAAGAGGUAGCAGAGCGUCCAGUACCUAUGAAGAGCAGUAUGUUAUUGUUUGGAGGUCACUGGAGUGAGGAUGCUGGCAUGAGUAGCAAGAAUGGAUGUUAAAUCAUCCACACCGAAAGAGGAAGGGUUCUGAGGGCAAGUUACACUGCCUCAGGUCAUAAGCGGUGUCUAAGGAGUUAGCCAAUGCGAAGCUCUGAUGAUUAUGUUGCAGAACGGGCUCAUUACUGAGACCCAGGAAAAUAAUGCAACUUUACUACCGUACCUUAAACCGACACAGGUCCUCGGGUAGAGUAUACUAAGGUGACGAGAUAACCAAGCUUAAGGAACUCGGCAAACUGAUCUCGUACGUUCGACAAUAAGAGAUGCCUUUGUACUGUUUAGGCAGUAUGAGGGUGGCACAGAAUCAGGGAGUGCGACUGUUUACUCAAAACACAGCAGCCUGCUAACACUAACGUGGUCGUAUAGGUUGUGAUUCCUGUCCGGUGUCUCGCGAUAAAGUUAUGAUGUGUAUGGCUUACCAUGUACAUUGAACUAGAAGUCGAGAUAAACGACGGUCUUAACUAUAAGGAUCCUAAGGUAGCAAAAUGCCUUGGCCACUAAUUAUGGUCUUGCAUGAAUGGAAUAGAUUAUCGCAGUUCCAUGGCUCCAUGCAACUAUCUUUGAGGAAACUCAAAAAUAUAGGAAUGAGCCAAUAAUGUCAAUAUAUGCUGGAAUGGCUUGAUAUCUAAUUGCUCAAAAUGAGAUACACUAUUAGAUUUAGCUGAUCAGCAGUGGUACAUAAUACCACUCAGAGACUUUCAUGACACAUAUGAACUUCAUAUGAUUGUAGAGUCCUGGAGAGAAGAAAUUCUCUCUUGAGCGAUGCUCCUACUGUCUUAAGCUUGGGCUCGGUGAAAUUGAAUUAGCCGUGCAGAUGCGGUUUACCACCAGAUAGACGGGAAGACCCUAUGCAACUUUACUAUAGCUAGGCAUUGUACUAGGCCAUCACUUGUCACAGGUAUGAGGUAGCUGAUAAAGCGUAAGUGAGAGACCUCAACAAGUCAUGGUCAGACUUACCUUGGUAAUAAGCCAAGGGACAUUGCCUAGUGGGUAGUUUUACUGGGACGGUACCCUCCAAGAAAGCAUCGGAGGGGUCCAAUAGGUACACAUAGCUUAGCCGGAGACUAAGUGGCUAUGAAGAGCCAAUAACAGCAUAAUGGCAAAAGUGUGCUAAACUGUAAGACUGACAGGUCAAUCAGGUACGUAAGUAGGGCAUAGUGAACCGAUAGUAUGUUAUGGUACAGCUAUCGUUCAUCGGAUAAGUUACGCUAGGGAUAACAGGCUGAUAGCGCGAAAGAGUUCAUAUCGUAAGCGCUGUUUGGCACCUCGAUGUCGACUCAUCACAUCCUCCUGGUGUAUCAGCUAGGAAGGGUUCAACUGUUCGUUGAUUAAAGUGGUACGUGAGUUGGGUUUAAUACGACGUGAGUCAGUAUAGUCCCUAUCUUCUGGUGGGACAUGUAGACGAAGAAGAACAUCUGGUUAGUACGAAAGGACCAUCAGGUGCGCACCUCUGGUGUAUCUGCUAUAGUUCAUUGACUGUACUGCAGAGUAGCUACGUGCGUUAAGGAUAAGACCUGAAAGCAUAUAAGGUCGAAGCUGCUCUUUGGAGGCUAAACAGCAACGGGAUGUAGACCACGUCCUUGAUAGGUCACAUGUGUAAGCUCCGUUAAGGAGUGAGCUGAGUGAUACUAAUGUGUUGCAUGACUUGACG